RNAcentral lists this ribosomal RNA (468 nucleotides) under uncultured bacterium. RNAcentral describes it as "partial 16S ribosomal RNA". It matches the Rfam family "Bacterial small subunit ribosomal RNA", at positions 28 to 507 of the family's 1533-position model. The record is from RNAcentral.
GACGAACGCUGGCGGCGUGCUUAACACAUGCAAGUCGAACGGAAAGGCCCUGCUUUUGUGGGGUGCUCGAGUGGCGAACGGGUGAGUAACACGUGAGUAACCUGCCCUUGACUUUGGGAUAACUUCAGGAAACUGGGGCUAAUACCGGAUAGGAGCUCCUGCUGCAUGGUGGGGGUUGGAAAGUUUCGGCGGUUGGGGAUGGACUCGCGGCUUAUCAGCUUGUUGGUGGGGUAGUGGCUUACCAAGGCUUUGACGGGUAGCCGGCCUGAGAGGGUGACCGGCCACAUUGGGACUGAGAUACGGCCCAGACUCCUACGGGAGGCAGCAGUGGGGAAUAUUGCACAGUGGGCGGAAGCCUGAUGCAGCAACGCCGCGUGCGGGAUGACGGCCUUCGGGUUGUAAAACGCUUUCGCCUGUGACGAAGCGUGAGUGACGGUAAUGGGUAAAGAAGCACCGGCUAACUACGUG